UGAGAACAGCCGCGGUAAUACGUAGGGGGCGCGCUUUGUCCGGAUUUAUUGGGCGUAAAGCGCACGUAGGCGGAUUGGAAAGUUGGGGGUGAAAUCCCGGGGCUCAACCCCGGAACUGCCUCCAAAACUAUCAGUCUAGAGUUCGAGAGAGGUGAGUGGAAUUCCAAGUGUAGAGGUGAAAUUCGUAGAUAUUUGGAGGAACACCAGUGGCGAAGGCGGCUCACUGGCUCGAUACUGACGCUGAGGUGCGAAAGUGUGGGGAGCAAACAGGAUUAGAUA
This 279-nucleotide ribosomal RNA is filed under the name uncultured bacterium. RNAcentral's name for it is "partial 16S ribosomal RNA". It matches the Rfam family "Bacterial small subunit ribosomal RNA", at positions 506 to 784 of the family's 1533-position model. The record is from RNAcentral.